GGCCCCGUCGUCUAGCCCGGUCUAGGACGCCAGGUUUUCAUCCUGGAAACACGGAUUCAAAUUCCGUCGGGGUCA
RNAcentral lists this transfer RNA (75 nucleotides) under Candidatus Kaiserbacteria bacterium RIFCSPLOWO2_01_FULL_54_13. RNAcentral describes it as "tRNA-Glu". It matches the Rfam family "tRNA". From Rfam's summary of the family: Transfer RNA (tRNA) molecules are approximately 80 nucleotides in length. Their secondary structure includes four short double-helical elements and three loops (D, anti-codon, and T loops). Lineage: Bacteria; Candidatus Kaiseribacteriota. The record is from RNAcentral.